GUUUGUCGCGUCUGCCGUGAAAGUCCGGGGCUCAACUCCGGAUCUGCGGUGGGUACGGGCAGACUAGAGUGAUGUAGGGGAGACUGGAAUUCCUGGUGUAGCGGUGAAAUGCGCAGAUAUCAGGAGGAACACCGAUGGCGAAGGCAGGUCUCUGGGCAUUAACUGACGCUGAGGAGCGAAAGCAUGGGGAGCGAACAGGAUUAGAUACCCUGGUAGUCCAUGCCGUAAACGUUGGGCACUAGGUGUGGGGGACAUUCCACGUUUUCCGCGCCGUAGCUAACGCAUUAAGUGCCCCGCCUGGGGAGUACGGCCGCAAGGCUAAAACUCAAAGGAAUUGACGGGGGCCCGCACAAGCGGCGGAGCAUGCGGAUUAAUUCGAUGCAACGCGAAGAACCUUACCAAGGCUUGACAUGAACCGGUAAGACCUGGAAACAGGUCCCCCGCUUGCGGUCGGUUUACAGGUGGUGCAUGGUUGUCGUCAGCUCGUGUCGUGAGAUGUUGGGUUAAGUCCCGCAACGAGCGCAACCCUCGUUCUAUGUUGCCAGCACGUGAUGGUGGGGACUCAUAGGAGACUGCCGGGGUCAACUCGGAGGAAGGUGGGGACGACGUCAAAUCAUCAUGCCCCUUAUGUCUUGGGCUUCACGCAUGCUACAAUGGCCGGUACAAAGGGUUGCGAUACUGUGAGGUGGAGCUAAUCCCAAAAAGCCGGUCUCAGUUCGGAUUGGGGUCUGCAACUCGACCCCAUGAAGUCGGAGUCGCUAGUAAUCGCAGAUCAGCAACGCUGCGGUGAAUACGUUCCCGGGCCUUGUACACACCGCCCGUCAAGUCACGAAAGUUGGUAACAYCCGAAGYYGGUGGYCUAACYCCUUGUGGGAGG
This 877-nucleotide ribosomal RNA is filed under the name Arthrobacter sp. RNAcentral describes it as "bacterial SSU rRNA". The record is from RNAcentral. Lineage: Bacteria; Bacillati; Actinomycetota; Actinomycetes; Micrococcales; Micrococcaceae.